AUUGAACGCUGGCGGAAUGCUUUACACAUGCAAGUCGAGCGGCAGCGCGGGGCAACCUGGCGGCGAGCGGCGAACGGGUGAGUAAUACAUCGGAACGUACCCAGUUGUGGGGGAUAGCCCGGCGAAAGCCGGAUUAAUACCGCAUACGACCUGAGGGUGAAAGUGGGGGAUCGCAAGACCCCACGCAGUUGGAGCGGCCGAUGGCGGAUUAGCUAGUUGGUGGGGUAAAGGCCUACCAAGGCGACGAUCCGUAGCGGGUCUGAGAGGACGACCCGCCACACUGGAACUGAGACACGGUCCAGACUCCUACGGGAGGCAGCAGUGGGGAAUUUUGGACAAUGGGGGCAACCCUGAUCCAGCCAUUCCGCGUGAGUGAAGAAGGCCUUCGGGUUGUAAAGCUCUCUCGGCAGGAACGAAACGGUAGGCUCUAACAUAGCCUGCUAAUGACGGUACCUGAAGAAGAAGCACCGGCUAACUACGUGCCAGCCGCCGCGGUAA
Molecule: ribosomal RNA, 498 nt
Filed under: uncultured bacterium
Lineage: Bacteria
Description: partial 16S ribosomal RNA
Rfam family: Bacterial small subunit ribosomal RNA
Source: RNAcentral